Molecule: ribosomal RNA, 371 nt
Filed under: uncultured bacterium
Lineage: Bacteria
Description: partial 16S ribosomal RNA
Rfam family: Bacterial small subunit ribosomal RNA
Source: RNAcentral
UGGGGAAUUUUGGACAAUGGGCGCAAGCCUGAUCCAGCCAUGCCGCGUGCGGGAAGAAGGCCUUCGGGUUGUAAACCGCUUUUGUCAGGGAAGAAAUCUUCUGAGUUAAUACCUCGGGAGGAUGACGGUACCUGAAGAAUAAGCACCGGCUAACUACGUGCCAGCAGCCGCGGUAAUACGUAGGGUGCAAGCGUUAAUCGGAAUUACUGGGCGUAAAGCGUGCGCAAGGCGGUUUUGUAAGACAGAGGUGAAAUCCCCGGGCUAACCUGGGAACUGCCUUUGUGACUGCAAGGCUUGAGUACGGCAGAGGGGGAUGGAAUUCCGCGUGUAGCAGUGAAAUGCGUAGAUAUGCGGAGGAACACCGAUGGGAA